This 399-nucleotide ribosomal RNA is filed under the name uncultured bacterium. RNAcentral describes it as "partial 16S ribosomal RNA". It matches the Rfam family "Bacterial small subunit ribosomal RNA", at positions 338 to 754 of the family's 1533-position model. The record is from RNAcentral.
CCUACGGGCGGCAGCAGUGGGGGAUAUUGCACAAUGGGGGAAACCCUGAUGCAGCGACGCCGCGUGUGGGAAGACGGUCUUCUGGAUUGUAAACCACUGUCCCCAGGGACGAAAAUGACGGUACCUGGGGAGGAAGCGCCGGCUAACUACGUGCCCGCAGCCGCGGUAAGACGGAGGGAGCAAGCGUUUUCCGGAAUUACUGGGUGUACAGGGAGCGUAGGCGGGGAUGCAAGGUGGGUGUCAAAACUACCGGCUCAACCGAUAGUCGCACUCCAAACUGCAGCUCUGUAGUGCAGUAGAGGCAGGCGUCAUUCCUAGUGUCGCGGUUCAAUGCGUAGCUCUUAGGCGGACCCCCAGUGGCGACGGCGGCCUGCUGGGCUUUUCCUGACGCUGCGGCUC